UCCCUGCGUUCGCUCGGCCUUGAAGCUCCCAUGGCGCGCGCUCUAUUUCCUCGCGCGGCUUCCUGCUCGCCUGGCCGCUCGUCCAAGAGCUCUCCAUCGCGGCGCGCGCUUCUUCCCCGCUCGCUCCUCUCUGCGGCUCGCCCUCUCUUCCUCCAGCUCAUCCUGCUCGCCAUGGCCACCGCGCCUUGUUUCUCUUUCCCCUGCGCUCAGCUCACCGAGCUCUCCCUCUCCCUGGUUCCAUGCAAGUGCGUCCCUGGCUCGGACCCAACUCGGCGCCCUCCCAUCUCCCUGCGUCUCUCUCUUCUUGAACACCCUGUGCGCGCGCUCGGUCUCUAGCUCCGUUACCGUUGGGGACUUGUUCUCAAAUACUGUGAAUCAAGAACAAGACAACACAAAAUAUUAAAUAUCAAAAGGCCCUUCGUCCUUCAAAUCAUUAUUUCCUUUCGGACAUAAUGAAUUUAGGACGAAGGUCAUGAAGGUCAUACCUUCAUGAUCAUGAUAAAAAAUGGAGAACAUUCAAAUAAAAUAUAGAAAGUGAC
This 539-nucleotide unclassified non-coding RNA is filed under the name Zea mays. RNAcentral describes it as "misc RNA Zm00001eb027630". Lineage: Eukaryota; Viridiplantae; Streptophyta; Magnoliopsida; Poales; Poaceae. The record is from RNAcentral.